This 253-nucleotide ribosomal RNA is filed under the name uncultured bacterium. Its description in RNAcentral is "partial 16S ribosomal RNA". It matches the Rfam family "Bacterial small subunit ribosomal RNA", at positions 524 to 776 of the family's 1533-position model. The record is from RNAcentral.
UACGAAGGGGGCUAGCGUUGCUCGGAAUCACUGGGCGUAGAGCGCACGUAGGCGGAUCUUUAAGUCAGGGGUGAAAUCCUGGAGCUCAACUCCAGAACUGCCUUUGAUACUGGGGAUCUCGAGUCCGGAAGAGGUGAGUGGAACUCCGAGUGUAGAGGUGAAAUUCGUAGAUAUUCGCAAGAACACCAGUGGCGAAGGCGGCUCACUGGACCGGAACUGACGCUGAGGCGCGAAAGCGUGGGGAGCAAACAGG